CUCACAUAAAGCCUGUUUGGUGGUCUCUUCACGUGGAUGUGCAUUAAACAGGUGUCCUCACGCCCACCAGCCCAGAGUGCUCUCUGGAGGAAGGCUACAGACACUUCCUGGUUCACUCAUCCAGACGUUAGCUGUCUUGCUGAAACUCCUUUUUUCACCCUUGAAAACCACUGGAAGAAUGGCCCAGAACCCAGCUAUCCUGAGGAUGAUAAUGACAUUUGGAGAGUAGCACUAUAAACCUCAAACAUCUAUUUUGAAGAUGAUUGGAUUUAGGAGCAAGACAGGUUUGCCGUACACUUGACCGAACAUGCUUUGUUCCCCAAAGCAGCAAAAAAGCCAGAGCCUGGAAGUUUCUAAAACUUGAAGCAGAUGUAAGUGGCAAAUCCAAAAAGCCGUGCCUAGAGAACAGGUCGGGUGACCGGCUGUGUCUAUUCCAGCCUCCCCAUUGGCUUGGUGGAGGACUUCGCACAGGUCUCUCAGUUUCUCCUUCUUUGGUUUCACCGUAGAAUGAGGGGAAGUCACAGCAUUUCUUCCUUUGUAUUUCACAGAAACACAGUCAGCAAAUGUAAAGAAAUACGGGCGCCUACAUGGUGAUUAUGCUGGCCUGGUCUCAAGCUUCAUAUUCAUCCUUAAUUGAUUUCCAGGCACACUCGCCAGUGACCGGGCUUUGCUUCACCGAAUGGCCCCAAGGGCCUACACUUUCUUAAUUCUCCUGUGGACCCUUUAUUCACUCCCCCUCAUCCUUCCUUUGCUGAGGGUGUUUGCUUCUGACUG
This 774-nucleotide long non-coding RNA is filed under the name Homo sapiens (human). Its description in RNAcentral is "HSALNT0177279". Lineage: Eukaryota; Metazoa; Chordata; Mammalia; Primates; Hominidae. The record is from RNAcentral.